This 86-nucleotide transfer RNA is filed under the name Acidobacteriota bacterium. RNAcentral's name for it is "tRNA-Leu". It matches the Rfam family "tRNA". Rfam says of the family: Transfer RNA (tRNA) molecules are approximately 80 nucleotides in length. Their secondary structure includes four short double-helical elements and three loops (D, anti-codon, and T loops). Further hydrogen bonds mediate the characteristic L-shaped molecular structure. tRNAs have two regions of fundamental functional importance: the anti-codon, which is responsible for specific mRNA codon recognition, and the 3' end, to which the tRNAs corresponding amino acid is attached (by aminoacyl-tRNA synthetases). tRNAs cope with the degeneracy of the genetic code in two manners: having more than one tRNA (with a specific anti-codon) for a particular amino acid; and 'wobble' base-pairing, i.e. permitting non-standard base-pairing at the 3rd anti-codon position. RNAcentral also lists the same sequence under 1 other name. Lineage: Bacteria; Pseudomonadati; Acidobacteriota. The record is from RNAcentral.
GCGGAAGUGGCGGAACGGCAGACGCGCUAGCCUCAGGAGCUAGUGAGCUUCGGCUCGUGGGGGUUCAAAUCCCCCCUUCCGCACCA